UUUUCUUUCUAGUUUGAAGAAACUGAAGAAGGGGAAGAGGAGGAAUUAGAAGAUGAUGAUGAUGAGGUGGAUUCUGACAAUAAGGUGUAAUUUGUCUCACUUUUAAACAUUCAUGCAUUUUUAGAAAGAACACAGUCAGCCUGAUGAAUGCAAACAACAGUGAUAAGAAGAUACCGUUCUUGUCUCUUAAGAGUUGUGCUACUUAAUAUAUAUUGGGAUGCCUGGACUGAAAAUAGGGAUGUUCACUGCUACAAAUAAAAAGUCAUCUUAGAA
Molecule: long non-coding RNA, 273 nt
Organism: Protopterus annectens (West African lungfish)
Lineage: Eukaryota; Metazoa; Chordata; Ceratodontiformes; Protopteridae
Exons: 4
Source: RefSeq, a predicted model, not a curated record